This 702-nucleotide long non-coding RNA is filed under the name Homo sapiens (human). Its description in RNAcentral is "HSALNT0140368". The record is from RNAcentral. Lineage: Eukaryota; Metazoa; Chordata; Mammalia; Primates; Hominidae.
GCAGGAUUUCUACAACAAUCCCUUUCUUGGCUUUCCUGCUUUCCUUGAUUUGGAAAGGACUCCAGCUUAUGAAAGAAAACGCAAAGAAAGAAGAGACCAUUCCACUGAGUGAGUUUGGGGAACAUAAACUUCUGUAAUGUUUAUUUUAAUUAGGCCUAUUUCUCUAAGUAUUAUACCACCCAAAUGAUAACAUGUUUUAAAAUUCCGUGUGCUUCAGGGAGACGAAUAUUGAGAUAAUCAAUCUCUUGGCACUCUUGCAAAAGCAAUAAUAGUAAAAGUAAUAAUAAACUAUAUCAUAGUAUGUUAUUAAAUAUUCUAAAACAAAUAUAGAACAAAUUAUCCAUUUUACCUAGUCUGCAUCUAUAGAGAAUGUAUGUUUAGGCAAUGUAUACUACCAGGAUCUAUCAAUCAUCAAAACGUGCUUAACAAUACAGAUACUCUACAUUAAUCUUAUUGGACAGGUGAUCCGUUCAUUAGUUCCCCUUACCAUAGUUUUUUUUUUUAAAGCAACUUUUAAUAUUUAACGCAAAUAUAAUCGAAUACAUGUCAUCAUAUCAAUUAGCCUUUGGUAGUCAAGUAACUAUUAAGAGAUAGAAAAUCGUAAUACAUUUUUUAUUUUAAAAAGAAAAAAAAUUUUCAUCCUUGGGGAUUACAAAAAACCAUGCCUAGGAUUCUUUUUUUGUUUGUUUGUUUUUUAACAAA